AACUAUUAGCGGUGGAUCACUCUGCUUGUGCAUCAAUGAAUAAUGCAGCUAACUGAGAUAAUUAAUGAGACUUGCAGGACACAUUAAUCAUCGACACUUUGAACGGACUUGCGGCCCCGGCCUCCUCCCGGGGCUACGCCUGUCUGAGCGUCA
This 153-nucleotide ribosomal RNA is filed under the name Sphenodon punctatus (tuatara). RNAcentral describes it as "5.8S ribosomal RNA (ENSSPUG00000014055.1)". It matches the Rfam family "5.8S ribosomal RNA". From Rfam's summary of the family: 5.8S ribosomal RNA (5.8S rRNA) is a component of the large subunit of the eukaryotic ribosome. It is transcribed by RNA polymerase I as part of the 45S precursor that also contains 18S and 28S rRNA. Functionally, it is thought that 5.8S rRNA may be involved in ribosome translocation. The record is from Rfam by way of RNAcentral. Lineage: Eukaryota; Metazoa; Chordata; Lepidosauria; Sphenodontia; Sphenodontidae.